ACGGAGGGUGCAAGCGUUAAUCGGAAUUACUGGGCGUAAAGCGCACGCAGGCGGUUUGUUAAGUCAGAUGUGAAAUCCCCGGGCUCAACCUGGGAACUGCAUCUGAUACUGGCAAGCUUGAGUCUCGUAGAGGGGGGUAGAAUUCCAGGUGUAGCGGUGAAAUGCGUAGAGAUCUGGAGGAAUACCGGUGGCGAAGGCGGCCCCCUGGACGAAGACUGACGCUCAGGUGCGAAAGCGUGGGGAGCAAACAGGAUUAGAUACCCUGGUAGUCCACGCCGUAAACGAUGUCGACUUGGAGGUUGUGCCCUUGAGGCGUGGCUUCCGGAGCUAACGCGUUAAGUCGACCGCCUGGGGAGUACGGCCGCAAGGUUAAAACUCAAAUGAAUUGACGGGGGCCCGCACAAGCGGUGGAGCAUGUGGUUUAAUUCGAUGCAACGCGAAGAACCUUACCUGGUCUUGACAUCCACGGAAGUUUUCAGA
Molecule: ribosomal RNA, 480 nt
Filed under: Escherichia coli
Lineage: Bacteria; Pseudomonadati; Pseudomonadota; Gammaproteobacteria; Enterobacterales; Enterobacteriaceae
Description: bacterial SSU rRNA
Rfam family: Bacterial small subunit ribosomal RNA
Source: RNAcentral